Molecule: long non-coding RNA, 1343 nt
Organism: Pantherophis guttatus
Lineage: Eukaryota; Metazoa; Chordata; Lepidosauria; Squamata; Colubridae
Source: RefSeq, a predicted model, not a curated record
GAAACAGACUUCUGGGCAAAUGAGCCUUUUGAUGUGAUCCAACAUAGCUCUUCCUAUGCUCAUCUGUUUUUCAUCAGAUAGAAUCCAGAAUUUUAUCAUCACAAUCUACCAUCUGAUUCUGCAUAAUGUGUAGAUAGACUUCCAAGCGUUCUUUCUUUUCAGAGAGCAGUGCAUCUCAACCUCAGCAACUUUAACAAGUAUGGACUUCCUCAGACAACCAUUCUGGAAAAUGAACUCCAUGCAUCAUAAAGUUCUGUCUUAGAGAAAAGUUUGGACACAGAGUUACAAGACACAAGAAUUUCAGUAGAAUUCCAACAGUCCAGAACUGUUCAAUUAUGUUGAUUCACCAAAAGACGUAUACUGCAUUUGUCCUUGGUGCAUUGUCCUUUGGUGCACAUUCAUCAUUUCUUCACACAGCCACCUGUAACCAUCAGCUGGGGCUCAAGAGGCAGCGGGAUUGAGGAGGCAGAAUGAAAAAUCGGGACUUUUUUGAAACGCCGCGGGACACGGGACAAAUUGCUAAAAAUCGGGACUGUCCCGCCAAAAGCGGGACGUCUGGUCACCUUAAUGUAUAUUGCAUUAAGCUUUAAAGCUAUCUUAGCCUCAUUGUCACAGAUGCUACUUUGAAUCUCAUCCCUUAUACAUUAUCUAAGUAGUCAACUUACUUUUCUUGUGUGUUUGGGCCUCAUACUAGACCUUCACCUUAUGGUGAUUUAUAUAGAUUUUACAGAUGGAGAUUCUCUGAAUUGGCUCUAUAACUCAUAACUUUAAAUCCCAAUUCUGAAAUUAUUCAGAAAUUAAAGAUUAUUAAUUUUAACUGCAACUUCCCAACUCUAUACUGUUACUUCAGGAAGCUAAUUAAAAGUGAUAUAAUUGUGUUCUAAGUCCUUGAAAAUCGGACCAUUGUUUUAAAUUUGGAUUUCUGUUUUUCUGAGUAACCCUUUUGAAAUAUUUCAGUUUUCAUUGCUUCAUAUAUUUGUUGUGAUAAUGAAACAAAAUAUAACCAAAUAUAGUUUAGCAAUCUUAUUGUGUGAGGAUGCAGAAUAUGGGACAAGAAUAAUUUCACUACUUUCAUGAAAGUGCUUUAUUGCUUUCAUGAAAUUGAUAGGUUGCCAUUAAUUUUAAUGUGUUUAUUUACAUUUCAUUUAACUUUUUGAGAUUUUUAUCUAGAGCUUUCUUUUUUUCUUUUUCAUUUCCAGGCUUUUUGAAAGCACAAAUAUGUCCUAGCAGAAAUGGACAUGUAGCUUAAUUCUGGUAAAAUAAAAUGACAAUGUGUUAUAUGAUAUUUUGGUAUUAUAGAAAAAAUACUUAGAAAAUAUAUAAUAAAAAUACUUUAAAUGGCU